Ornithorhynchus anatinus (platypus) is the source of this 138-nucleotide small nucleolar RNA. NCBI's taxonomy places the organism in Eukaryota, Metazoa, Chordata, Mammalia, Monotremata, Ornithorhynchidae. The record is from RefSeq and is a predicted model, not a curated record.
CCGCUCUCAGGAUCACACCUGGAGAGCUUCCAGUAUUCUACCAGUAUCAGCUACUGGAGGGAGAGUCAAGCAGAGGCAUACUGAUUCCAUUACUAGCUUGGGCAGUGGCUAGCAAGUGGAAGGCAAUCUGCUACAAGU